CUGCAAAUAGCCUCACUGUUCUGAUUUUUAAUAAUCAGAGCAGGCAAAACAUUUGCUAUAAUAAGAUCAUGCAUAUGUCCCAUAUCUAAUUCUUUACCUACCUAGGUGUGGUCUUAGAAAUGAAGGUGGUACCC
This is a small nucleolar RNA of Sorex fumeus (smoky shrew), 134 nucleotides long. RefSeq annotates it as small nucleolar RNA SNORA72. The transcript has a single exon. NCBI's taxonomy places the organism in Eukaryota, Metazoa, Chordata, Mammalia, Eulipotyphla, Soricidae. The record is from RefSeq and is a predicted model, not a curated record.